Molecule: ribosomal RNA, 451 nt
Filed under: uncultured bacterium
Lineage: Bacteria
Description: bacterial SSU rRNA
Rfam family: Bacterial small subunit ribosomal RNA
Source: RNAcentral
GUGGGGAAUCUUGCGCAAUGGGCGAAAGCCUGACGCAGCGACGCCGCGUGGGUGACGAAGGCCUUCGGGUUGUAAAGCCCUGUGGGGAGGAACGAACCGGUUCAUGGCUAACAUCCAUGGGUCUUGACGGUACCUCUUUAGCAAGCAUCGGCUAACUCUGUGCCAGCAGCCGCGGUAAGACAGAGGAUGCAAACGUUGCUCGGAUUUACUGGGCGUAAAGCGCGCGCAGGCGGUUUCGUAAGUCAGACGUGAAAUCCCGAGGCUCAACCUCGGAAGUGCGUCUGAUACUGCAAGACUGGAGUACUGGAGAGGAGAGCGGAAUUCCCGGUGUAGAGGUGAAAUUCGUAGAUAUCGGGAGGAACACCAGUGGCGAAGGCGGCUCUCUGGACAGAUACUGACGCUGAGGCGCGAAAGCGUGGGAAGCAAACAGGAUUAGAUACCCGGGUAGUCC